CUCUCACGCAUGCUACCGCCUCUCCGCGUAGUGCUCACGCGCUACCAUUUUGUGGUGGUGCAUAUCUUAUCUUGUCAUCUUUACCUCGAUGUUAGGAGUCCUAAUAUGUCCUCCAUUCCCCCCCCCCCCCCCCGCCAGGUCUUUUAAUUAUCUCGAAAGCACAUUUAUAUGUUCGAUCAAUUUGAUUUUCAACAAAUUUUCGAUCAAUUUUUCUGCAUAACGGUUUCUACUACUUUUUACCUUAUUUAUCUGCACCUUUUAACAUAGAUUUUAAACUCCAAGACCAUAAAGCCAAGCUGUGAUGCCAUUUAUCAUGGAAAUUCGGGCUCAUUUUCAGCCAACAAAUCAAACACCAACCAUUUAAUUUCUCAACCCAAAUCCAAACCUCGCUCGUGGUUACCCAAUAACAUUAUCCACUAAGAAUAAUAUGGUGGCUGCAAUAUCACAAAGGAAGAGGAGAAGAACGAAGACACCACGCAAAGCUCUCAAAUGCACAAGACACUCUCAUGCGUUACUUCUAAUACCAUUUGUCGAGAAAGUACUUCGAUUCGUGCAUAAAAUUGGGCUCAAUUUUCCAAUACAAACAAUCAAAUAACAACCAAGGUUGCUCGAACCCACAACCCUAUUCACUUCAGUUGCCUAAUUUCUUGUGCCCACAAAGGAUACAAAUCUGGUGAUUAAUUGCAACCACGAAGGAGGAGAAAAAUGGGGAAAACAAUUGGCUUAAAGCCAAGCACAAAGGAGAGAAAUCACCAAAGAUGACUGCCUCUUUU
RNAcentral lists this long non-coding RNA (773 nucleotides) under Olea europaea subsp. europaea. The record is from RNAcentral. Lineage: Eukaryota; Viridiplantae; Streptophyta; Magnoliopsida; Lamiales; Oleaceae.